CUGGGAUUAGAUACCCCACUAUGCUUAGCCCUAAACUUAAAUAAUUCCAUAACAAAAUUACUCGCCAGAGAACUACAAGCCAGAGCUUAAAACUCAAAGGACUUGGCGGUGCUUUAUACCCGCCUAGAGGAGCCUGUUCUAUAAUCGAUAAACCCCGAUAAACCUUACCACUCUUUGCCAAUUCAGCCUAUAUACCGCCAUCUUCAGCGAACCCUAAAAAGGAACAAAAGUAAGCUCAAUUAUCCCCAUAAAAACGUUAGGUCAAGGUGUAGCCUAUAGAGUGGAAAGUAAUGGGCUACAUUUUCUACUUCAGAACAUACGAAAGCCCUUAUGAAACCCUAAGAGCCAAAGGAGGAUUU
RNAcentral lists this ribosomal RNA (359 nucleotides) under Sylvilagus floridanus (eastern cottontail). RNAcentral describes it as "partial 12S ribosomal RNA". It matches the Rfam family "Bacterial small subunit ribosomal RNA", at positions 772 to 1290 of the family's 1533-position model. Lineage: Eukaryota; Metazoa; Chordata; Mammalia; Lagomorpha; Leporidae. The record is from RNAcentral.